GUAGUGACGAAAAAUAACGAUACGGGACUCAUCCGAGGCCCCGUAAUCGGAAUGAGUACACUUUAAAUCCUUUCACGAUUAACAAUUGGAGGGCAAGCCUGGUGCCAGCAGCCGCGGUAACUCCAGCUCCAAUAGCGUAUAUUAAAGUUGUUGCGGUUAAAAAGCUCGUAGUUGAAUCUGUGUCCCACACUGUCGGUUCACCGCUCGCGGUGUCCAACUGGCAUGUCUGUGGGACGUCCUGCCGGUGGGCGCAGCCCCUCAAAAGGCGGCCCAACUCAAAAUCCUACCACGGUGCUCUUCACCGAGUGUCGAGGUGGGCCGGUACGUUUACUUUGAACAAAUUAGAGUGCUUAAAGCAGGCUCAUUCGCCUGAAUAUUCUGUGCAUGGAAUAAUGGAAUAGGACCUCGGUUCUAUUUUGUUGGUUUUCGGAACUCCGAGGUAAUGAUUAAUAGGGACAACUGGGGGCAUUCGUAUUGCGACGUUAGAGGUGAAAUUCUUGGAUCGUCGCAAGACGGACAGAAGCGAAAGAAAUGUGUUUUCAUCAAUCAAGAACGAAAGUUAGAGGUUCGAAGGCGAUCAGAUACCGCCCUAGUUCUAACCAUAAACGAUGCCAGCUAGCGAUCCGCCGAAGUUCCUCCGAUGACUCGGC
Molecule: ribosomal RNA, 650 nt
Filed under: Megabothris walkeri
Lineage: Eukaryota; Metazoa; Arthropoda; Insecta; Siphonaptera; Ceratophyllidae
Description: SSU rRNA
Rfam family: Eukaryotic small subunit ribosomal RNA
Source: RNAcentral